GUGGGGAAUAUUGGACAAUGGGCGAAAGCCUGAUCCAGCCAUGCCGCGUGUGUGAAGAAGGUCUUCGGAUUGUAAAGCACUUUAAGUUGGGAGGAAGGGCAGUAAAUUAAUACCUUGCUGUUUUGACGUUACCGACAGAAUAAGCACCGGCUAACUUCGUGCCAGCAGCCGCGGUAAUACGAAGGGUGCAAGCGUUAAUCGGAAUUACUGGGCGUAAAGCGCGCGUAGGUGGUUUUGUAAGUUGGAGGUGAAAUCCCCGGGCUCAACCUGGGAACUGCCUCCAAAACUGCAUGACUAGAGUACGGUAGAGGGUAGUGGAAUUUCCUGUGUAGCGGUGAAAUGCGUAGAUAUAGGAAGGAACACCAGUGGCGAAGGCGACUACCUGGACUGAUACUGACACUGAGGUGCGAAAGCGUGGGGAGCAAACAGGAUUAGAAACCCGAGUAGUCC
Molecule: ribosomal RNA, 450 nt
Filed under: uncultured bacterium
Lineage: Bacteria
Description: partial 16S ribosomal RNA
Rfam family: Bacterial small subunit ribosomal RNA
Source: RNAcentral